UAGUGUUCAUCAUGGCAAGCAGAUGGCACCAGGAGAAAUGGAACCCCUGCAGUGCAGGAGGGCAGACCCUGGAGGAGAGAGCGACCUAAGCUGAUGCCCACAGUGAAUUCCAGAGCUUAGGAGUCCUGCA
Molecule: long non-coding RNA, 130 nt
Filed under: Microtus ochrogaster (prairie vole)
Lineage: Eukaryota; Metazoa; Chordata; Mammalia; Rodentia; Cricetidae
Description: Nuclear enriched abundant transcript 1 conserved region 3 (ENSMOCG00000005945.1)
Rfam family: Nuclear enriched abundant transcript 1 conserved region 3
Source: RNAcentral